UAGAUCAUUAUUAAAGGGAAAAUUCAUAAAUUGUCCAAAUAAACUAUUAAAAUAAAACCGUUAAUUUUAUUAAAAAAAAAAUAGAUAAAGAAGAUAAAAACACAUGGUUAUGAGUUCAUAUUUCAUUUGGGUGCAGAAUAGUAAUAAAAAAAAGGACAAAACUUAGAUGCAAUUCCAUAGGUCCGGUUCUUACUGUUUUCCAAUAGAAUUUUAACACCUGGAUUAUUUCUUUUCACUGAUAAACGCCGUUAGAAAACAAAACAUUUUUCCUCUAAAUUGCAACCACCGAAUGUGAAACACAUCUCCAAUGCUAAGACCCAUCAUCAUCUCCAAUUCCAUAUGUGACCAACGAAGACAAUUGAUUUUCAGUGACUGUGUGGCCACCACGUAGCAAGGUAUCACGCUUCUCUCCCUUCUUGAGUCCAUCAUCGUCUGCAACAUUCAACAAAACCUCAACUUGUUAUUCAAAACAAAAACUCUCAACUCCAUUGACACCAUGAAUCUGAUUGUUAUAUAUUAUAGAUCAAUAACAUUGUGGUCCCAAUCGAUUAAACCCAAAAUACCAUUUAAACUCAGCCCUUAAAAAUCAAUUGAACCUAGAGAACUUGUUGAAACCCUAAAACCAUCUUUCCCAAUUGAACCUAGACUACUGUAUUUGAAGUUCGAUUCCUUAAAAUUCGCAUUCUUUUUCAUCGUGUUCCGCCAUCGUUAAUUGCAGUUGAACAUCCAUCUUGUCGUAAAAGGAAAUUCAUGCAAUACUUGGGGAGCAAAUAUCAGCAGAAGAUGAAGAGGAAGUUUUGGCAGAGUUUGAGAACUUGGAAACCCAGAUAAGAUGAGCAAUAUUUUGGCAGAUUAGAUAAUCACGGAUUUGGGAUGUUUAUUAGCAGUCUGAGGUGCAGCCGCAUCAGCAGUAGCACCUGAAUACCGUAAAAAGAAGUGGCUGAUCACAGAAAGGGCAAAAACACAAUGGAUGAAGUACAAAUCUAUGUUUGAAGCUGCUAGGUCGAAGACAGCUAACUCUCUUCCAGACGGCAAUUCUUCUGCAUGUCAAAGUACUGAAAUGCAAGGUAUUUAAGAGCAAACUUCCCAUUCUUUGUGCUUUCAAACCCAUGUCUGUCGUCAAAUAGUUUUGUCAUUAUCUUUAUAUAAUAAGUAAAACAGUCAAAAUGUUUCCAAAAAAAAAAUUAAAACAGUCAAAAUAAUCAAGGAAACUGCUCAAAUUAGUCAAAUCUGAUGGAAACUAUUUUGAGGUUUUGAAUGAAAUGAGAAGUCUGAAAAAAGACAAUAAUUUUUUGGAAACAUAUUGUUAAAAUAUAACGUUAUUUACACUUGUUUUAAAUAUAUGUUUAGUCCUGAAAAAUAUAGCGAUA
This is a long non-coding RNA of Trifolium pratense (red clover), 1370 nucleotides long. RefSeq lists it as uncharacterized. NCBI's taxonomy places the organism in Eukaryota, Viridiplantae, Streptophyta, Magnoliopsida, Fabales, Fabaceae. The record is from RefSeq and is a predicted model, not a curated record. The transcript has 4 exons.